AGCUUUGCACAGUGGCAGUAUCGUAGCCAAUGAGGUUUAUCCGAGGCGCGAUUAUUGCUAAUUGAAAACUUUUCACAAACAAGGGCACUAUAGCCUGGAUCAGGAACUCACUUCAAUCAAUGGCCCAUGUGUUAAAAGUGUGGUUCACA
RNAcentral lists this small nuclear RNA (149 nucleotides) under Chinchilla lanigera (long-tailed chinchilla). Its description in RNAcentral is "U4 spliceosomal RNA (ENSCLAG00000020772.1)". The stretch from base 1 to 82 matches the Rfam family "U4 spliceosomal RNA". From Rfam's summary of the family: U4 small nuclear RNA (U4 snRNA) is a component of the major U2-dependent spliceosome. The record is from Rfam by way of RNAcentral. Lineage: Eukaryota; Metazoa; Chordata; Mammalia; Rodentia; Chinchillidae.